GACGAACGCUGGCGGCGUGCUUAACACAUGCAAGUCGAACGGUGAAGCGCCUUCCUUUUUGGUGGGUGUGGAUGAGUGGCGAACGGGUGAGUAACACGUGAGUAACCUGCCCCCUUCUUCUGGAUAACCGCAUGAAAGUGUGGCUAAUACGGGAUAUUCUGGGUCUGUCGCAUGAUGGGUCUGGGAAAGAUAUUGUUUCGGUGGGGGAUGGGCUCGCGGCCUAUCAGCUUGUUGGUGGGGUGAUGGCCUACCAAGGCGGUGACGGGUAGCCGGCCUGAGAGGGUGGACGGUCACACUGGGACUGAGACACGGCCAAGACUCAUACGGGAGGCAGCAGUGGGGAAUAUUGCACAAUGGGCGCAAGCCUGAUGCAGCGACGCCGCGUGAGGGAUGGAGGCCUUCGGGUUGUGAACCUCUUUCGCCAGUGAAGCAGGCCUGCCUCGUUUGUGGGUGGGUUGACGGUAGCUGGAGAAGAAGCGCCGGCUAACUACGUG
This 494-nucleotide ribosomal RNA is filed under the name uncultured bacterium. RNAcentral's name for it is "partial 16S ribosomal RNA". It matches the Rfam family "Bacterial small subunit ribosomal RNA", at positions 28 to 507 of the family's 1533-position model. The record is from RNAcentral.